Molecule: ribosomal RNA, 392 nt
Filed under: uncultured bacterium
Lineage: Bacteria
Description: partial 16S ribosomal RNA
Rfam family: Bacterial small subunit ribosomal RNA
Source: RNAcentral
AUACGGAGGAUCCGAGCGUUAUCCGGAUUUAUUGGGUUUAAAGGGUGCGCAGGCGGCCAUUUAAGUCAGCGGUUAAAUCGUGGGGCUCAACCCCAUUCUGCCGUUGAUACUGGGUGGCUUGAUUGCGGUCGAGGUAGGCGGAAUUCGUUGUGUAGCGGUGAAAUGCAUAGAUAUGACGAAGAACACCGAUUGCGUAGGCAGCUGACCAGACCGCAAAUGACGCUCAUGCACGAAAGUGCGGGGAUCGAACAGGAUUAGAUACCCUGGUAGUCCGCACAGUAAACGAUGAAUACUUGUUUUCGGCGAUAUAAUGUCGGAGGCAAAGCGAAAGCGAUAAGUAUUCCACCUGGGGAGUACGCCGGCAACGGUGAAACUCAAAUGAAUUGACGGGG